AAGUGUCAGUCAUCACGCUCGCUGUACAGUUCCUGAGGUGGCUCUCCAGGCCUGUGGCUUCCAGGAAGGGAUGUGCGGCCUUCACACAAGAUUCCCCUCAUGAAAUGUGAAUGGCUGUUGAUGGUGGGUGUGGGGACACUGGAGACUGGGAAGGUCGCUAGAACCAUGUAAAGAAGUUCCUUGAUCCAUCUGGACCCUUCGCACACCCUGAUUUUGAACCAAGCACUGAAUUUGCCUAUGUCACCCAGCAAGAUUACUGUAGUGUCCUCAACCAAGCAGAAAUGAAAAUGCAAAAAGUUGAAGAGGAAAGAGAGAUCCUUAUAGUCAAAGAACAUCAAGACCCUGAUGGAACUGGAAUAAGGAAGGGUCACAUUGUCAUCAAGGAACCUCAGAAUGGUUAACCAAGCACUUGGUGGAAGAGAAUUCAGUAGUAGAUCCAACCUUCAUAGAAGACUUCUUGUUGACCU
RNAcentral lists this long non-coding RNA (467 nucleotides) under Ictidomys tridecemlineatus (thirteen-lined ground squirrel). RNAcentral's name for it is "lncRNA (ENSSTOG00000033305.1)". Lineage: Eukaryota; Metazoa; Chordata; Mammalia; Rodentia; Sciuridae. The record is from RNAcentral.